UCUUAUGUACAUGCCUACAACAUAGUGUUAAUGCAUCGAAUCCCAUUAGAACUCCGCAAUUAAGCAUGCUCGGGUUAGAGUAGUACUGGGAUGGGUGACCACCCAGAAAGUCCUAUUGUUUUACAUGAU
Non-coding RNA from Picea glauca (white spruce), 129 nucleotides. NCBI's taxonomy places the organism in Eukaryota, Viridiplantae, Streptophyta, Pinopsida, Pinales, Pinaceae. The record is from Rfam.